RNAcentral lists this unclassified non-coding RNA (300 nucleotides) under rhizosphere metagenome. RNAcentral describes it as "partial ribosomal RNA internal transcribed spacer region". The record is from RNAcentral.
GUAGGUGAACCUGCGGAAGGAUCAUUAUUAAAUUGGGGGGCUAUGCUCUCCUGCGUGUUUGGCCUUGUGCUAUAUCGCAAAAACACUUGUGUUGUUGCAUUAUGUGUGGUUUGGCGGGGGGAGUGGGUGCACCAUUAUUGUGUGUUGCCUACAACAACACGCCAUCUCGGCAUCCCGUCAAUACCUUUAAUAAAAACCAUUUUGAACCUAUUUUGACUAAACAUACGUAUUAUUGUGUUGGCCUUUUGGUCACUAAAAACAACAUUUAUACAACUGUUAGCAACGGAUCACUUGGUUCUC